CUCACAUUACUGGAGUAGGGAUAUAGUCACUCACAUUACUGGGGAAGGGAUAUAGUCACUCACAUUACUGGGGAAGGGAUAUGGUCACUCACAUUACUGGAGUAGGGAUAUAGUCACUCACAUUACUGGAGUAGGGAUAUAGUCACUCACAUUACUGGGGUAGGGAUAUAGUCACUCACAUUACUGGGGUAGGGAUAUGGUCACUCACAUUACUGGAGUAGGGAUAUGGUCACUCACAUUACUGGAGUAGGGAUAUAGUCACUCACAUUACUGGAGUAGGGAUAUAGUCACUCACAUUACUGGGGUAGGGAGAUAGUCACUCACAUUACUGGGGAAGGGAUAUGGUCACUCACAUUACUGGGGUAGGGAUAUAGUCACUCACAUUACUGGGGAAGGGAUAUAGUCACUCACAUUACUGGAGUAGGGAUAUGGUCACUCACAUUACUGGAGUAGGGAUAUGGUCACUCACAUUACUGGGGUAGGGAGAUAGUCACUCACAUUGCUACUGAUUAAAAGCCCACAGCCUAACAGACUUGAGAGAAGCAAGUAACUAAACUCAUUUCAUUCCUGUAAGAGUAGAUGCUACUACUCAAAUUAUUGCACAGUUAUCUUGGCAAUACCGGGGAGAAGAGACACUCUGCUCUUCCACAGAAUAUGGAUGGUCGUGGAUGGGAUUUGAGGUGAACGAACUGAUAAUUUGGAGGGGUUGCUAUAUGAUGGCCUGCAGUGUUGCAACACCGUAUCCAACACUGAGGUUAGGGAAAAUCAGAGAAACUGAGUCACAGAGAAGUUCCUUGCAAGGGCUGCUCAUCAGCUGUGGACCUUGCAGUUCGGACACUGGCGCUAAAUGAGAGAUCACUUCUACCUAUGUUCUGGAGGACAGCACACAUAAAUACUGAGGAAACACAAGGGAAACAUAAAGGAAAAGCAGAAAGUUUGCCUGCCUGUGUUGUGGUAACUCCCUAGGAAGGCAAGGCUGGCAUCUAACUCAUCUCUUCAGAACCAGCACCUGACACCAGGUGACCCCUGGAAGGUGUGGAGAGGAGUGACUAGUGGUAAGGUUAUGGGAGUCAGAGACUGGGGGGAUGGGUUUAGUAGGGGAGACAGCACUGGGAUUCCAGCCUGUGAAAGGAAGUUCCUCAAUCUCUUACUCAUGAACUGGCUUAUGACCUAAGGUCUGGGUUCCUGUCCUGGACUUGCUUGCAAUGAGUGAGGCCUGAGACAUCCAGGAAGCCACAGUUCAUAGAACACUUACAUUCUCUGUGAAUGCCAGGCAGUGAUAAGAAGGUUGGUUGUGGUGGUGAGGAUGAGGAUGAGGAUGAGGAGGCGGGUUAGGGUUAGGCCAGGAGAGAUUCUUGGAAGAGAUAGCCAGGAGAUGCAGUAACUGCAAAGCAGGCAAGAAUGGGGCAGAAGGCUGAUGCCCCUAGUUGGGCUUACAGUACAUUGAUGCAUCCCAGAAGCAUGGGAGAAAGCUGCUCUGAGUGCCCAGAACAAGAUCUGGAGGGAAAAGGAAAAAGAAUAGUUCUUCUCAUACCCAGGGCUAUCUCACAGCCCAACUCCUCUGCUGUGGGGCUUCAAAGUCUGCCAUGUGGAUGACACUCACACCCCCUCCUUCCUACUCCAGUGUGGAGGAGGGACCAGCUCCCAGUGGGAGGAGCAAGGGAGCUGCCUGCCUGUCUGGUCCCUCAUCUCAGCCAGACUGGGUAUCUUCCUCUUAAUUGCAGUCUUUUUCCUCAACAGACAUCGCUUUCUCAUCAGAGUCCCUUAAACCUCCCUUGGGGCUCCCAGCCAUCUUCCUCCUCCACUGGCCCAUAGCAGCUCUCAUGGUCUCCCCUGAGAUGGCCCACAGUGAUAAAACCCUGGUAAGAGAGUCAGGAGUGAAGGGGCCAACUUUCUUCAUCUUGGGCUUUCUUUCUCCUGGUUCCUAUAAUGCCCAAAACAAAUUUCUC
This 1949-nucleotide long non-coding RNA is filed under the name Cricetulus griseus (Chinese hamster). RNAcentral describes it as "lncRNA (ENSCGRG00015030011.1)". The record is from RNAcentral. Lineage: Eukaryota; Metazoa; Chordata; Mammalia; Rodentia; Cricetidae.